Unclassified non-coding RNA from Gorilla gorilla gorilla (western lowland gorilla), 100 nucleotides. It matches the Rfam family "Y RNA". Rfam says of the family: Y RNAs are components of the Ro ribonucleoprotein particle (Ro RNP), in association with Ro60 and La proteins. The Y RNAs and Ro60 and La proteins are well conserved, but the function of the Ro RNP is not known. Lineage: Eukaryota; Metazoa; Chordata; Mammalia; Primates; Hominidae. The record is from Ensembl.
GGCUGGUCCAAGUGUAGUAGUGUUUACAACUAAUUGAUACAAGAAGUUACAAAUUUCUUUGUUGCUUCUUCAUUCCCACUGCUUCACUUCCUAGCCUUAA